Molecule: non-coding RNA, 27 nt
Filed under: Mus musculus (house mouse)
Lineage: Eukaryota; Metazoa; Chordata; Mammalia; Rodentia; Muridae
Source: RNAcentral
UAGUGCCUUACACUCCAGGAUGUCCAG